Molecule: non-coding RNA, 746 nt
Organism: Xyrichtys novacula (pearly razorfish)
Lineage: Eukaryota; Metazoa; Chordata; Actinopteri; Labriformes; Labridae
Source: the annotation of a GenBank genome assembly
GCCAGAAUUCGUUUCAGGGGACAAGGGACCAUGGUUCUGCGAACUUCACAUGGGAUAAGGACACUCUGUGCGCACAAAAAGAAAAAGGUAGGAGUUUUCCUAAAAUUUGGUUGAGAGUUCUUCUCCCUGUGAGGUGGUGCGGACUACUGUUCUCUGUCCUCUUCGAAUCAAAGAACCUAGAAUAGAAAUAAGAGGAGACAGUGGGAAUGAAGACAGUCUGAGAAAACUGCAUGCAUGCAGUCAGCUGAUCAAAGUCUGCUAAAUUUGUGAGGAAGCCAAUUGAAAUUGAAUAUAUAUCAGCUGAUUUAAGAAAAACUGCAGUUGACUGUGUGAAAUUGCCUCACGCUGUUGCAUGUGUGAGAUGCCAUAUGUAGAGCUGUAGGCUGCUACAUAUGAGGGAUGCCAUAUGCAGAGCUAUAGGUUGCUGCAUGUGAGGAAUGCCACAUGAGGAGCUAUAGGCUGCUGCAUGUGAUGAAUGCCAUAUGAGGAGCUAUAGGCUGCUGCAUGUGAUGAAUGCCAUAUGUGGAGCUAUAGGCUGCUGCAUGUGAGGAAUGCCAUAUGUAGAGCUAUAGGCUGCUGCAUGUGAUGAAUGCCAUAUGUGGAGCUAUAGGCUGCUGCAUGUGAUGAAUGCCAUAUGAGGAGCUAUAGGCUGCUGCAUGUGAUGAAUGCCAUAUGUGGAGCUAUAGGCUGCUGCAUGUGAUGAAUGCCAUAUGAGGAGCUAUAGGCUGCUGCAUGUGAUGAAUGCC